GCUCAGAUUGAACGCUGGCGGCAGGCCUUACACAUGCAAGUCGAGCGGAAACGACGGGAGCUUGCUCCCGGGCGUCGAGCGGCGGACGGGUGAGUAACGCGUGGGAAUCUAUCCAGUAGCGGGGGAUAGCCCGGGGAAACCCGGAUUAAUACCGCAUACGCCCUUCGGGGGAAAGCAGGGGAUCUUUGGACCUUGCACUAUUGGGUGAGCCCGCGUCGGAUUAGCUAGUUGGUGGGGUAAAGGCCUACCAAGGCGACGAUCCGUAGCUGGUCUGAGAGGAUGAUCAGCCACACUGGGACUGAGACACGGCCCANACUCCUACGGGAGGCAGCAGUGGGGAAUAUUGCGCAAUGGGGGCAACCCUGACGCAGCCAUGCCGCGUGUGUGAAGAAGGCCUGCGGGUUGUAAAGCACUUUCAGUAGAGAAGAAAAGCCUACGGUUAAUAACCGUGAGUCUUGACGUUACCUACAGAAGAAGCUCCGGCUAACUCCGUGCCAGCAGCCGCGGUAAUACGGAGGGAGCGAGCGUUAAUCGGAAUUACUGGGCGUAAAGCGCGCGUAGGCGGCUUUGUAAGUCGGAUGUGAAAGCCCUGGGCUCAACCUGGGAAUUGCAUUCGAUACUGCAUGGCUAGAGUAUGGUAGAGGGAAGUGGAAUUUCCGGUGUAGCGGUGAAAUGCGUAGAUAUCGGAAGGAACACCAGUGGCGAAGGCGACUUCCUGGGCCAAUACUG
Molecule: ribosomal RNA, 729 nt
Filed under: uncultured Gammaproteobacteria bacterium
Lineage: Bacteria; Pseudomonadati; Pseudomonadota; Gammaproteobacteria
Description: bacterial SSU rRNA
Rfam family: Bacterial small subunit ribosomal RNA
Source: RNAcentral